GUAGUUAUUUUGUACAACGCAAUUACAUUAAUAACACGAGUUUACAUAAAUAAAUAUAGUGGGGACAAUUAAUAUAAAUUGCCAUUUAAAUUAUUACUAAUCCAUAAAGUAAUUGGUCAAAGUAUCGAUAGCUUCUGAAUAAAUUGUAGCAGAAGAUUUACUCAACUACUAUAAGAAAUGUUCAACAUGAAGAUAUUUUUAUUGGCAGUUUUGGUAGUGGCUUUGUUUGCUGCCGAAACUUCUGCUGUAUGCGUUGGUCGAGGCAGUCCGUGCUUGACAACUAGUGGAAAUUGUUGUGAAGGUUGGUGUGAUCCUAUAAUAGGUACAAUGGGGACAUGUAUGAAAUAAAUUACCUUGAAUUAACGUUGAAUUCACUUUUGACAAAGUUUAUAUCUAUCCAUUUUUUUCAUAUGUAUAAGAAAACAAGUACGACUAUUUUUCUGUGGAAUUUCUGCGGUUUUAUUUAUAAAUAUUUGUAAACUUUGUCCAACGAAAUUUAAAAAUAUGUUCUAUGUAUAUUAAUACCAUUUGCUGACUAAAAAUUUCAAAAUUUUAUUUGAAAAUAAAAAAUUAAAAAAAUCUACGGCAUAACAAAUUUGUAUUACAAGCGUCUGAAUGUUUUUCAUUCUAAAAAUUUAUUAAACUUAUGUCUUUGAAGA
Molecule: long non-coding RNA, 659 nt
Organism: Microplitis mediator
Lineage: Eukaryota; Metazoa; Arthropoda; Insecta; Hymenoptera; Braconidae
Exons: 3
Source: RefSeq, a predicted model, not a curated record